CUUGGCAGCGAAGGGCUUGUCCACCAGCGAGCUCUUGCACCGUGAGCAGUGGAAACAGGCCUCAUGCCAGUGUCGGUCCUUGUAGGACAAGUCCUGCAGACCCAGAGCAUGCGUCACAGUGUGACCUGUAAGGAAGAGGAACACAGAACAUGCAAUUCGUUACUGCUUCUCAUUGGCAACAGGUUGUGAGUUCGGGCACCGCGCAGCCCUGCAAGUAUUGGCAGUUCCUCAAAAACUUAAAAAUCGGGUUACCAUAGGAUCCAGCAACUCCACAUCUGGAUAUAUGCAAAAAGAAUCGAAGGCAGGAAUUUGUAUACCUGUAACCAUAGCAGCAUUAUCCACCAGCACCAAAAAAAGUGGAAGCAACCCAAGUGUCCAUCAACGG
This is a long non-coding RNA of Zalophus californianus (California sea lion), 385 nucleotides long. RefSeq lists it as uncharacterized. Lineage: Eukaryota; Metazoa; Chordata; Mammalia; Carnivora; Otariidae. The record is from RefSeq and is a predicted model, not a curated record. The transcript is spliced from 4 exons.